This is a transfer RNA of Wallemia ichthyophaga EXF-994, 81 nucleotides long. It matches the Rfam family "tRNA". Rfam says of the family: Transfer RNA (tRNA) molecules are approximately 80 nucleotides in length. Their secondary structure includes four short double-helical elements and three loops (D, anti-codon, and T loops). The record is from Rfam. NCBI's taxonomy places the organism in Eukaryota, Fungi, Basidiomycota, Wallemiomycetes, Wallemiales, Wallemiaceae.
GGUUCGAUGGUCUAGGGGUAUGAUUCUCGCUUUGGGACACCAAUUUGCGAGAGGUCCAGGGUUCAAAUCCCUGUCGAACCC